RNAcentral lists this signal recognition particle RNA (97 nucleotides) under Flavobacteriales bacterium. Its description in RNAcentral is "signal recognition particle sRNA small type". It matches the Rfam family "Bacterial small signal recognition particle RNA". From Rfam's summary of the family: The signal recognition particle (SRP) is a universally conserved ribonucleoprotein involved in the co-translational targeting of proteins to membranes. Archaeal SRP consists of a 7S RNA and homologues of the eukaryotic SRP19 and SRP54 proteins. The record is from RNAcentral. Lineage: Bacteria; Pseudomonadati; Bacteroidota; Flavobacteriia; Flavobacteriales.
UACAAGUGAUUAGACAAGUAGCUCCCUUUGAACUCCUCCAGGGUGGAAACACAGCAAAGGUAUUAGGUUGAGCACUGUGAUUUAGUCACUUGUUUUU